AUACUUACCUGAGAGGGGAGAUACCAUGAACACAAAGGUGAUUUUCCCAGGGCGAGGCUCAUCCAUUGCACUCUGGAUGUGCUGACCCCUGCAGUUUCCCCAGAUGUGGGAAGCUCAGCUGCAUAAUUUGUGGUAGCGGGGGCUGCAUUUAAAAAAAAAAAAGAAAGAUGCUUUGU
Small nuclear RNA from Camelus dromedarius (Arabian camel), 176 nucleotides. Its record names the gene U1. It matches the Rfam family "U1 spliceosomal RNA". From Rfam's summary of the family: U1 is a small nuclear RNA (snRNA) component of the spliceosome (involved in pre-mRNA splicing). Its 5' end forms complementary base pairs with the 5' splice junction, thus defining the 5' donor site of an intron. Lineage: Eukaryota; Metazoa; Chordata; Mammalia; Artiodactyla; Camelidae. The record is from Ensembl.